Molecule: ribosomal RNA, 497 nt
Filed under: uncultured bacterium
Lineage: Bacteria
Description: partial 16S ribosomal RNA
Rfam family: Bacterial small subunit ribosomal RNA
Source: RNAcentral
GAUGAACGCUGGCGGCGUGCCUAAUACAUGCAAGUCGAGCGAACGGACGAGAAGCUUGCUUCUCUGAUGUUAGCGGCGGACGGGUGAGUAACACGUGGAUAACCUACCUAUAAGACUGGGAUAACUUCGGGAAACCGGAGCUAAUACCGGAUGAUAUUUUGAACCGCAUGGUUCAAAAGUGAAAGACGGUCUUGCUGUCACUUAUAGAUGGAUCCGCGCUGCAUUAGCUAGUUGGUAAGGUAACGGCUUACCAAGGCAACGAUGCAUAGCCGACCUGAUAGGGUGAUCGGCCACACUGGAACUGGAACACGGUCCAGACUCCUACGGGAGGCAGCAGUAGGGAAUCUUCCGCAAUGGGCGAAAGCCUGACGGAGCAACGCCGCGUGAGUGAUGAAGGUCUUCGGAUCGUAAAACUCUGUUAUUAGGGAAGAACAUAUGUGUAAGUAACUGUGCACAUCUUGACGGUACCUAAUCAGAAAGCCACGGCUAACUACGUG